GAUGAAGAACGUAGCGAAAUGCGAUACGUAAUGUGAAUUGCAGAAUUCAGUGAAUCAUCGAAUCUUUGAACGCACAUUGCGCCUGCCAGCACUCUGGCAGGCAUGCCUGUUCGAGCGUCAUUUCAACCAUCAAGCCCUAGGCUUGCGUUGGAGCCUUGCGGCUGCCGCAGGCCCCUAAAAGCAGUGGCGGGCUCGCUAUCACACCGAGUGCAGUAGAUUACUCUUCGCUCAGGGCGUGUGGCGGGUUCCAGCCGUGAAACCCACUACUUCUCAAGGUUGACCUCGGAUCAGGUAGGAAUACCCGCUGAACUUAAGCAUAUCAAUAAGCGGAGGA
This 334-nucleotide unclassified non-coding RNA is filed under the name soil metagenome. RNAcentral describes it as "partial contains 5.8S ribosomal RNA, internal transcribed spacer 2, and large subunit ribosomal RNA". The stretch from base 1 to 120 matches the Rfam family "5.8S ribosomal RNA", at positions 35 to 154 of the family's 154-position model. The record is from RNAcentral.